UGUUAAAUAUAUAAUACUUUAAUUUUGUUUAACGAUUCUACACAGUUUAUUUGUUGUUUUUCUUUUCAUUUAUAUGUCUGCCUCAUUGAAUGCACCCUAUUUAUCCAUAGCACAAAUUAACGGUAUCGAGCAUCUAUGGUUGUUUCUUUAGACAUUUUAUGGUUUAUAUCAUAGACCAGCAAUUAUAGGUAUAAAUUGCAAUGUGACGCUUCGUUGUCAUUUAUCUAUGGUCACCGUUGUAAUAUGAUUUCAAUGAUUUUCAUCUAAUCUAUGAUUUUCAUCAGUUGCAUAUGGCCGAAUGGUAGAUUCGUCUUUGGAAGUUAGAAGAACUCCAGAUGCCAUUAAAUUGUGGAGCAUUGAUUGUGUCGGUUCUCACUGACUCCAAAAAGUGACUGUUCCUCUGGUCAUAAAGAAAGCAUGAAAGUGCCUUUUUCCAUUGGGAACAGAGACAAUGUGCUGAAGAAGUGUGUUGCUGAGGGAGGGAUUUAUGACAAUAAACUGAUUGUCCCACAAAUGAGAGGCAAUUGCAGUUAAUUUUGAUACUACUGAAGCAACCGAUGUUUUUGACGUCUUCACCUUGCAAAAUUAUGCAGUUAAUUUUUGCCGUAACAAUGGGAGGCAAUUGGAAAUUAAUUAAUUU
This is a long non-coding RNA of Agrilus planipennis (emerald ash borer), 640 nucleotides long. RefSeq lists it as uncharacterized. NCBI's taxonomy places the organism in Eukaryota, Metazoa, Arthropoda, Insecta, Coleoptera, Buprestidae. The transcript has 3 exons. The record is from RefSeq and is a predicted model, not a curated record.